RNAcentral lists this long non-coding RNA (3302 nucleotides) under Drosophila guanche. The record is from RNAcentral. Lineage: Eukaryota; Metazoa; Arthropoda; Insecta; Diptera; Drosophilidae.
GUUAUAAUCAAUAAGUUUUAAUUUGAAUUUCAAAAUGUUCUAGUUGUUCGGAUUGUGGGUGCCAUGUCUCGUCGUAGUAUGGAAGUAGGGUAGAGUGUUAGGUCGUUCAAGGGAUCAUCGGCCUCUCUUUUGGUCUUGCUGUAGGGUGGGCAAUCAGCUGUCGUAGCAACACCAGCGCAGCAGUAGAACAGCUAAAACCCACUCAGCUUUUGCAACAACAUCUUGCAGUGUCAUAACUAUUCAAUUUUAUGUGGUUUCCUAUACUUUCUGUCUGUCCGAUCGAACCUGUGUUUGGCCUAAACCAGCACGCGAAUUUUAAUGUAAUUAUGUAUGUACAAAGCGAGCAGGUAGCACAGGGGUCUUUUUCAACAGAGGGUAUUCCAGAUACAAGGUCAAACAAAAUUAUUCUAUACCAGGCUAGAAACAUCAAAGAUCUAAAGCUACAAAUUGAGGCAUAUCAAAAAUCUCGUGUUUCUUCUAAGCCGCCAAGCAAGUGUGGUGGGCCGAUCAGCAAGGUUGGAAAUGAGAUAGGAAAAGAAGUGGCAGCUGGAUCUAGUAGGAAGUGUUUCAGGUGGGGAGACUCUUCACAUAUAAAGAGAGAUUGUCCUGUGAGGGAGAACUGUUUUAAAUGUGAUCAGCCAGGACAUCGAGCAGGAAAAGUUAAGACAGAGAGAGAAACAAAUGCAGUUAAAGACAGAAAAGUCGUUUCAAAACCAUCACCACCCUUUUAUUCGAGACUGGAACAGAAAUAAGUGAUUUGCAUGAAUACUGUAUUUUGUUUGAUGCGUAGGAGUGUUUUUUGGAAACUAGGCGUAGGCGUGGACAGUCUGAUAGGUCGCCAGAACGUUUUAACAGGGAUCGGUGAAAGUCAGGUCUUGACUUUUGGUAGUUUCGAUGCAAAGGUCACUAUCGAUGGUAUUGACAUGUCGAUCGAAUUUCCUGGUAUUCCUGAUGGGGAUAUGAAGUACGAUGCAAUUUUGGGCACAACGUUCCUAGACAACGUCGAUAUGAUGGUAACCAAGAACGGCACUACAUUUUCGCCAAGUGUUCGUCGUGUAGAAAAAGGUGUUGAGUUAGGAACAGAGGAUGGUCAGUUAGGGCAGAGUUCCUGUGUGCAGCUGAUGAGCGAGUUUGAGAGCCAGUGCAUGUUAAGCUUGUAAGACUAUCAGGAGAAACCUUUCUUAGAUUUAGUUCAUUUGAGUCAGAAUGUCGCAUCUGAAGUGAAGCUUAUGAUCGAUAACUAUGAGACAAAGAGAAAUCUCAGUUCGCCAGUAGAGAUGAAGUUCUUGUUGACAGAUGAGUUACCGGUAUAUCAACAUCCGAGACGGACCCUAGAUUUGACAAAUGGUUUCUUUCACGUUCCUGUUUCGCCAGAAUCCCAAAAGUAUAAAUCUUUCGUAAGUCAGAAUGGACAGGAUGUUGUAAUUGCCAAACCGCUGUCUGAUUUGUUGCGUAAAGAGGUGAAGUUCGAAUUGCAGGAAAAACAUUUAACGGCAUUUGAGAAAUUAAAGGGAGCGUUGAUUAGUGGACUAGUUUUGAAGAUUUAUGAUCAAUCGCUGGAAACGGAGAUUCAGGUGAUAAUUUGUGGCAUCCAGUUUUCUACAUGAGUCUUAAAACAAAGCCUUGUGAGGAGAUGUAUCAUUCUUAUGAACUAGAAGUGCUUGCGGUAAAGAGGCGAGUGUACGUCCUAGGGAAAAAUUUCAAGAUAGUUACAGACUGUAACACUUUUGCCAUGACCAUGAAGAAGAAAAAUGGGCAAUGUAUCUCCAAGACUUCGACUAUGAAAUAGAGCACAAAUCCGGUUCUAAAAUGAGACAUGUCGAUGCGUUGAGAAGGGUAUUGUGUCAUGUUCUAACUGAUAGUUUGCUACACCGUUUGAGGGAGACAUAGCAGUUAGACGAAUGGACGAAGGUGGUCAAAAGUGUGGUCGAGACCAAAGGAUAUGAAGAUUUCUAUGUUUCGAAACAAGUUCAAAGAUCCCAAUAAAGAGUUGCUAGUGGUACCUUCGGUCAUGGAAAACGAGAUCAUUAAGAUCAAUCACAAGCAAGGUCACUUUUCUUGUAAAAAGACUCAGGAUUUGAUCGAGAAGUCAUAUUAUAUUCCCAAGCUCAAGGAGAAAGUAGCGUGAGUAGUUAAUAGCUGUGUAGAGUGCAUUCUAGUUAAUCAAAGGCAGGUCGGCAAGAGGGUUCCUCACACCGAUAGACAAAGGGGAUAAGCCGCUGGUAACCUACCAUGUUGAUCAUGUUGGCCCUAUGGAGUUGACGAAAAAACGAUAUAAUCACAUUUUCGUGAUUGUAGAUGCCUUGUCCAAGUACGCGUGGUUGUAUAAUACUCGAAGCACAGGAGUAGAAGAAGUUAUUAGCUGUUUGGAGCGUCAGGCUGUUUUCUUUAGAAACACAUAUAGGGUCGUUUCAGAUCGCGGAGCUGCGUUCACUUCGCAUCUGUUUAAGGCGUUUUGCGAUAGGGAGAAGACACAACAUUUGUUAAUUGCAACAGGCGUACCCAGGGGAAAUGGACAAGUCGAGCGUAUUCAUAAAAAGUAGUCCCAAUGUCAUCGAAAGUCAGUCAUAAAAGUCCGGGGUGCUGGUAUAAGCAUGUCGGUAAGAUACAACAGAUCAUCAAUAAUACCGAGCCGAGGAGUACCAAGGUUUCGCCAUUUAAAUUACUGACUGGUUUAGAUAUGCGUAUUCCAGGUGAUGUGCAGCUCAGAGAAUUGAUUUAGGACUGCCUGAUUUCAGAAUUGGAUGAUGAGCGUGACAACUUGAGCAAGGAAAAAUAUUGAGAAUAUGCAAGCGGAGAACAAGCGAGCGUUUGAUGCUAAAUGAAAGGUAGCAAAGAAGUAUAAGAUCAAUAAUUUGGUAGCCAAUAAACGCACGCAGUAUGGGACAGGUUUAAAAUUGAAGGGCAAGUGCUUAAGGACAUACACACUAGUGAAAGUGACCAUGGCCGAUACGAAGUAGAAAACGGUGCGAGAAGGAGAAGGGCUGUUCGAAACAUCGACAGUUGCGGGCUAUAUGAAGGAAUUCGGGACGAAUCCUACGUCAGGAGGGCCGAAUGUGGGAUCCGAUUGGGGUACGGUAGUGACCAGGACACCAGAAGCGGUCACACUCAUUAAUCGUCUGUCUCUGACCGAACAUAUCGAUAGCAGGAGUACUCGGUUGCAACGGGAGAAAGAGGGAUAACGUCCAGCGACAGUCGCCGCCAAAGUAAUACGCACAUCAGAUAAUCUGUUAAAAUGAAGCCAAACCAACACCAAUGGAACAAACUAUGAAUAAAGAUAAAUAAAUAAACCGUCAGUGUCC